UGUCCUGUGGUGCAGUGGUUUGAGUGUUGGACUAGGACUCUGGAGAUCAAGGUUUGAUUCCCUGCAUGGCAA
Non-coding RNA from Phrynosoma platyrhinos (Desert horned lizard), 72 nucleotides. The record is from the annotation of a GenBank genome assembly. Lineage: Eukaryota; Metazoa; Chordata; Lepidosauria; Squamata; Phrynosomatidae.